GGGGCUAGUGGAUCGCCCUGGCCCCUGACGCCGGGGUGCGCCCACGUGGAGUAAGGGUGGGUGGGGUAAGGCGGCGGAACUGGCGGCGGCGUGAUUGGGGUGCGCCCAAGACGUGCCCCGGCCUGCGGCUGGGCGAGGUUCCAGACUCCGAAGGUAUUCUUUGCCUAAAGCUGCUGGCUGACUGCACAGAAAAUAAUAAAUGCCUUUGCUCCUUGUGUGGAUCUGCUGCUGGUUGGAGUGCAGCCCUGUCUUGAACACCAUGGAGCAUCGUUCAGAUUCCAGUUUCAUCUUGGCUGAGUGGUGCAAGAACUUAAAGACAUUUGCUUGAUAAGUCCGUCACUGCGCGUCUCGAACCCACUGCCUCGCUGGCCGCGGCAAGUGGCGCCCGA
Long non-coding RNA from Phyllostomus hastatus (greater spear-nosed bat), 389 nucleotides. RefSeq lists it as uncharacterized. The transcript has 4 exons. The record is from RefSeq and is a predicted model, not a curated record. Lineage: Eukaryota; Metazoa; Chordata; Mammalia; Chiroptera; Phyllostomidae.